GGCAGUAUGGCAUAGUGGUUUGAGUGUUGGACUACAAUUUUGGCGACCAGGGUUCGAUUCCCAGCUUGGCCA
Phrynosoma platyrhinos (Desert horned lizard) is the source of this 72-nucleotide non-coding RNA. The record is from the annotation of a GenBank genome assembly. NCBI's taxonomy places the organism in Eukaryota, Metazoa, Chordata, Lepidosauria, Squamata, Phrynosomatidae.